AGGCGCAGGCCUCCAGUGGGAGGCUCAGGAUGGAAGCGGGCGCCCCUGACCUUGAAUGGCCCAAAGCCCAGAAUUCCUACCACGCCCCCGGCGUCCGCGAAGGAGCAGCCAACCUAACCCUACCUGCUGUGACCAGGUGGAGGUGUGUGGUGGAAGGGGAAAGCCGGCCGGCUGGCAAAGCGCUGCGGAGAAAGACACGAGGCUCCUGAGCAGGGAAAGCCGAGGUUGCCACCGCAGGCCUGGCACGACCAGGGCCGUGAUGCCCCGCCCGGCCCGACCCCCGCGCGCAGAGGUACCUGGAGACGAUUUCAACUGAAGUAAUGAAGGCAGUGUCGUGCUGUCGAGAGAAAGGUGGAUCCCAACAACAGGAAACUACCUAAAUCACCGACCAGUUCUGGUGCUGCCCGCGAAGGGCUGCCUCGCCCGCCGCCGCCGCCGCCUCCGCCGCUGCCGCCGCCGCCAAGGAGAGAACCCUGCCAUCGCGCCUGGCCCGGCCCAGCCCAGCCCCUAGGCAACCUGCGCCCGCCAGUGCAACAGAGUGCCCCAGGCGGCCGCAAAUGCGUCAAGGAAGGGGAAGCCACAGGCCCCAGUAAGCCAAAGUCAAGCCCGUUUGCCAACCUGCAUGUCCAUGCCUGUAAGCCCUUCUCUUGGCCAAGGAAGAAAGGAAGAAAGAAAAAAGAAACCCAGGGGCCUGUAUCCCCUGAUUAAACACAGCACAGCACUCCAGGCAGACAUGCCCGGUGGCGGCUCCUUUGCACCAUUGACCUCAGGCCAGACACCUCAGCGCCAACAAUGGGACCUCGGCCUUCCGGCUAGGUUUGCCCCAGGCUGGGCAGGAAACCAGCUCGGCCGAAGACAGGGGCCAUUUCGAGCAGUGGGACCCCAAGACAGCAAACCCAGCCCAGUCAGGACUUGACACUUAGGACAAUAUCUAUCUCUAUAGAAUUUUAGCAUGAUAUGGCUUUUUCCCCCAGAAAACAACAAAUAAACCAGCACCAAGCAAACACAAAGAAACAAAAAGUCAGAACAAACCAGCCCUGCACAGAUGUAACGGCCCAGGAGAUGGCGAGUGUGGGAGGGAGGAACAGGGCUCCAGCACAGGUGCGAGUUCCUGGGCAGAGCCUGAAGACAGAGGGAGGGGACCAGCGCUCGGGAAGUGAAAAAACCGCGUCGCCUGGAGAUUCAUCAGGAAAAAUUAAAGUUGGCUGUGAGCUCCCG
This 1218-nucleotide long non-coding RNA is filed under the name Homo sapiens (human). RNAcentral's name for it is "HSALNT0339925". The record is from RNAcentral. Lineage: Eukaryota; Metazoa; Chordata; Mammalia; Primates; Hominidae.